RNAcentral lists this ribosomal RNA (253 nucleotides) under uncultured bacterium. RNAcentral describes it as "partial 16S ribosomal RNA". It matches the Rfam family "Bacterial small subunit ribosomal RNA", at positions 524 to 776 of the family's 1533-position model. The record is from RNAcentral.
UACGUAGGGUGCAAGCGUUGUCCGGAAUUAUUGGGCGUAAAGAGCUCGUAGGCGGUCUGUCGCGUCGGCUGUGAAAACUCGGGGCUCAACCCCGAGCCUGCAGUCGAUACGGGCAGACUAGAGUUCGGUAGGGGAGAGUGGAAUUCCCGGUGUAGCGGUGAAAUGCGCAGAUAUCGGGAAGAACACCCGUGGCGAAGGCGGCUCUCUGGGACGGUACUGACGCUGAGACGCGAAAGCGUGGGGAGCGAACAGG